CAACUAUCCGGACAUGUGGCA
Molecule: non-coding RNA, 21 nt
Filed under: Arabidopsis thaliana (thale cress)
Lineage: Eukaryota; Viridiplantae; Streptophyta; Magnoliopsida; Brassicales; Brassicaceae
Source: RNAcentral